AAUCAACGCUGGCGGCGUGCCUAACACAUGCAAGUCGAACGCGAGAGGGGCUUCGGCCCCGAUUGAGUGGCGAACGGGUGAGUAACGCGUGGGUGACCUACCUUCGAGUGGGGGAUAACGUCCCGAAAGGGACGCUAAUACCGCAUAACAUCCUGCUUUUGAAUGGGUGGAGAUCAAAGCCGGGGAUCGCAAGACCUGGCGCUUGAUGAGGGGCCCGCGUCUGAUUAGCUAGUGGUGAGGUAACGGCCCACCAAGGCAACGAUCAGUAUCCGGCCUGAGAGGGCGGGCGGACACACUGGGACUGAGACACGGCCCAGACUCCUACGGGAGGCAGCAGUGGGGAAUUGUUCGCAAUGGGCGCAAGCCUGACGACGCAACGCCGCGUGGAGGAUGAAGGUCUUCGGAUUGUAAACUCCUGUUGCCCGGGACGAAUGGCUCCGACCUAACACGUCGGAGUGUGGACGGUACCGGGU
This 473-nucleotide ribosomal RNA is filed under the name uncultured bacterium. RNAcentral describes it as "bacterial SSU rRNA". It matches the Rfam family "Bacterial small subunit ribosomal RNA", at positions 28 to 483 of the family's 1533-position model. The record is from RNAcentral.